Molecule: long non-coding RNA, 415 nt
Organism: Paramisgurnus dabryanus
Lineage: Eukaryota; Metazoa; Chordata; Actinopteri; Cypriniformes; Cobitidae
Source: RefSeq, a predicted model, not a curated record
GGAGAUAAAGAUUUUACAACGUGUGGAGAGCCGAAACGUUUCAGCACCCGGACAGCGCCGUGAGGGUUUUGAAAAGCAUUUGAAAAGGUUUUCAUCUCAGCAUAUCCACAGGUCUAAGUGCAGCACAUCUGUCUCCAGCAAGGAAAUCACAUCACGUGGCUUUAACAGAAUUUAAACUGCAUCGACAAAAUCUUGUGUCAAAGCAGUCAUUUUAAGGGUCCAAGAUGCAGCAGCUGGAGGGAGAGCCGGCUGGAAGGAAGCGAGAUCCAGGAUCUUAGAAAUCUAACGCUUUAGGAGUACUCCCACGUACUCCGAAGAGAACCACGGGGGGGCGAGUCCGUCCUUUGUUACGCCCCUCCCUUCAGGAAGAGCCAGGACAGAGAGUGGGAGCGCAGCUGAAACCCUUUUCUGUCCC